RNAcentral lists this long non-coding RNA (366 nucleotides) under Arabidopsis lyrata. RNAcentral describes it as "long non-coding RNA (ALYR_LNC001455)". The record is from RNAcentral. Lineage: Eukaryota; Viridiplantae; Streptophyta; Magnoliopsida; Brassicales; Brassicaceae.
UGAUACAUUAAUAUUCCUUUUUUUAUCUUGUUUAAUUUUUUUUUUUCCAUCUAGAUUUAUUAUUAAUUGCAAAUUAUGAGAACUGUUACAUAGACGAUUCUACAACUGACAAUUUCUACCGACCCUUAGUAGAUCCACGACAGACUACACUUCAUCUUUCAUGAUCUUGAUGAAUACCUUUCAAUGAUCCAUGACCUGGCGACACUUCCUUCUCUGCGUAGAAUCCUGGCGCACGGCUAUAAUUGUACAUCGCUGGAGAUCUUCUGCACACUUGCCUCUAUUAAUCUGCAAAUUUGUUAAUAAAUCGCAAUAUCUGGGACUCGAACCCCAGAACUCUUAGUGUAGAAGCAUUAAUCAACUCUUGGU